AACGCAUAUUGCGCUCUUUGGUAUUCCGAAGAGCAUGCUUGUUUGAGUAUCAGUAAACACCUCAAAGCUUUUGAUCUUUUUCAAAAGUUUUGGACUUGAGCAAUCCCAACACCAGUCUUUUUCGGACCGGUGGCGGGUUGCUUGAAAUGCAGGUGCAGCUGGACAUUCUCCUGAGCUAAAAGCAUAUUUAUUUAGUCCCGUCAAACGGAUUAUUACUUUUGCUGCAGCUAAUAUAAAGGGAGUUUGACCGUAUUGGCUGACUGAUGCAGGAUUUCACAAGGGUCGGAAACGAUUUUUGUAAAACUCGAUCUCAAAUCAAGUAAGACUACCCGCUGAACUUAA
Molecule: unclassified non-coding RNA, 342 nt
Filed under: uncultured Mortierella
Lineage: Eukaryota; Fungi; Mortierellomycota; Mortierellomycetes; Mortierellales; Mortierellaceae
Description: sequence contains ITS2
Source: RNAcentral